Molecule: ribosomal RNA, 255 nt
Filed under: uncultured bacterium
Lineage: Bacteria
Description: partial 16S ribosomal RNA
Rfam family: Bacterial small subunit ribosomal RNA
Source: RNAcentral
UACGAAGGGGGCUAGCGUUGCUCGGAAUUACUGGGCGUAAAGCGUGCGUAGACGGUUAUGUAAGUCAGGUGUGAAAGCCCAAGGGCUCAACCUUUGGAAUUGCAUUUGAGACUGCAUAGCUAGGGUGCGGAAGAGGGAAGCGGAAUUUCCGGUGUAGCGGUGAAAUGCGUAGAUAUCGGAAGGAACACCAGUGGCGAAAAGCGGCUUCCUGGUCCAGCACCGACGUCAGGCACGAAAGCGUGGGGAGCAAACAGG